ACGCUCGACACCUACGGGAGCCAGCAGUCGGGAAUAUUGCGCAAUGGAGGAAACUCUGACGCAGUGACGCCGCGUAUAGGAAGAAGGUUUUCGGAUUGUAAACUAUUGUCGUUAGGGAAGAAAAAAGACAGUACCUAAGGAGGAAGCUCCGGCUAACUACGUGCCAGCAGCCGCGGUAAUCUGAGCGGGCUGGCAAGGC
RNAcentral lists this ribosomal RNA (199 nucleotides) under uncultured bacterium. RNAcentral's name for it is "partial 16S ribosomal RNA". It matches the Rfam family "Bacterial small subunit ribosomal RNA", at positions 328 to 539 of the family's 1533-position model. The record is from RNAcentral.